Molecule: ribosomal RNA, 417 nt
Filed under: uncultured Alphaproteobacteria bacterium
Lineage: Bacteria; Pseudomonadati; Pseudomonadota; Alphaproteobacteria
Description: bacterial SSU rRNA
Rfam family: Bacterial small subunit ribosomal RNA
Source: RNAcentral
GAACGCUGGCGGCAGGCCUCAUACAUGCAAGUCGAGCGGUCCUUCGGGACAGCGGCGAACGGGUUAGUAACGCGUGGGAACGUGCCCUUUAGUACGGAAUAGCCAUUGGAAACGAUGAUUAAUACCGUAUACGCCCCAAGGGGGAAAGAUUUAUCGCUAAAGGAUCGGCCCGCGUUAGAUUAGGUAGUUGGUAGGGUAAUGGCCUACCAAGCCGACGAUCUAUAGCUGGUUUGAGAGGAUGAUCAGCAACACUGGGACUGAGACACGGCCCAGACUUCUACGGAAGGCAGCAGUAGGGAAUCUUGGACAAUGGGCGAAAGCCUGAUCCAGCCAUGCCGCGUGAGUGAUGAAGGCCCUAGGGUUGUAAAGCUCUUUCGCCAGGGAAGAUAAUGACGGUACCUGGUAAAGAAACCCCGG